This 545-nucleotide ribosomal RNA is filed under the name uncultured marine eukaryote. Its description in RNAcentral is "SSU rRNA". It matches the Rfam family "Eukaryotic small subunit ribosomal RNA", at positions 610 to 1157 of the family's 1831-position model. The record is from RNAcentral.
GUGUUGUGGUUAAAAAGCUCGUAGUUGGAUCUCAACAGCCUUGAAGCGGUUAACUUUGUAGUUUUACUGCUUUAUAGGCUGUGCUUUUGCUGGAGGUUUAGGGUGCUCUUGAUCGAGUGUCUCUGGAUGCCAGCAGGUUUACUUUGAAAAAAUUAGAGUGCUCAAAGCAGGCUAAAAUGCCUGAAUAUUCGUGCAUGGAAUAAUAGAAUAGGAUGUCGAUCCUAUUUUGUUGGUCUUCGGGACUCGACAUAAUGAUAAAUAGGGACAGUCGGGGGCAUUUGUACUCAAACGACAGAGGUGAAAUUCUUGGACCGUUUGAAGACAAACUACUGCGAAAGCAUUUGCCAAGAAUGUUUUCAUUAAUCAAGAACGAAAGUUAGAGGUUCGAAGGCGAUUAGAUACCGCCCUAGUUCUAACCAUAAACGAUGCCAGCUAGCGAUCUGCCUGCGUUUUUACUGUAGACUGGGCAGGAAGCUUCCGGGAAACCAAAGCAUUUGGGUUCCAGGGGAAGUAUGGUUGCAAAGCUGAAACUUAAAGGAAUUGAC